RNAcentral lists this transfer RNA (71 nucleotides) under Cavia porcellus (domestic guinea pig). It matches the Rfam family "tRNA". Rfam says of the family: Transfer RNA (tRNA) molecules are approximately 80 nucleotides in length. Their secondary structure includes four short double-helical elements and three loops (D, anti-codon, and T loops). Lineage: Eukaryota; Metazoa; Chordata; Mammalia; Rodentia; Caviidae. The record is from Rfam by way of RNAcentral.
GGGUGUCUAGCUCAGCGGCAUAAGCACCUGCCUUGUAAGCAGGCGGUCGUGAGUUCGAUCCCCGGUACCGA